This 22-nucleotide microRNA is filed under the name Macaca mulatta (Rhesus monkey). RNAcentral describes it as "Mml-Mir-1912_3p (mature (guide))". RNAcentral also lists the same sequence under 3 other names. The record is from RNAcentral. Lineage: Eukaryota; Metazoa; Chordata; Mammalia; Primates; Cercopithecidae.
UACCCAGAGCGUGCAGUGUGAA